GAAAAAGCAAUGAGAAGAUAAGUACUGGUCCCGAUCGUCCACAGAAAGUUUGCCUGGCUGAAAACAAACGUCGAUCCAUCACGAAAAUGGUCUUUGAGCAACAUAUAGCUGAGCAAAUGUAAAGUUAUAUUGGAAGGUGUCCAUUAACGCACCGGAAUUUUUAUUUAAAGCAACGUCGUUUCUCUUUAAAUAAAGACUCUCAGAGUUGGCUGGUGUGAAUCAGUCAAAAAUUAAGGUGGCACCGCGAUUAAUCGUCCUUGGA
This 262-nucleotide non-coding RNA is filed under the name Levilactobacillus brevis. RNAcentral describes it as "Lactobacillus brevis T-box sequence". It matches the Rfam family "T-box leader". From Rfam's summary of the family: Uncharged tRNA acts as the effector for transcription antitermination of genes in the T-box leader family. T-boxes are found upstream of many aminoacyl-tRNA synthetase genes and some amino acid biosynthetic genes usually in Gram-positive bacteria. Lineage: Bacteria; Bacillati; Bacillota; Bacilli; Lactobacillales; Lactobacillaceae. The record is from RNAcentral.